CAGCAGCCGCGGUAAUACGUAGGUGGCAAGCGUUGUCCGGAAUUAUUGGGCGUAAAAGGCUCGCAGGCGGUUUCUUAAGUCUGAUGCGAAAGCCCCCGGCUCAACCGGGGAGGGUCAUUGGAAACUGGGAAACUUGAGUGCAGAAGAGGAGAGUGGAAUUCCACGUGUAGCGGUGAAAUGCGUAGAGAUGUGGAGGAACACCAGUGGCGAAGGCGACUCUCUGGUCUGUAAUUGACGCUGAGGAGCGAAAGCGUGGGGAGCGAACAGGAUUAGAUACCCCCGUAGUCCCUGUCUCUUAUAC
Molecule: ribosomal RNA, 301 nt
Filed under: uncultured bacterium
Lineage: Bacteria
Description: partial 16S ribosomal RNA
Rfam family: Bacterial small subunit ribosomal RNA
Source: RNAcentral